RNAcentral lists this transfer RNA (62 nucleotides) under Amblyomma cajennense (Cayenne tick). Its description in RNAcentral is "tRNA-Thr". The record is from RNAcentral. Lineage: Eukaryota; Metazoa; Arthropoda; Arachnida; Ixodida; Ixodidae.
GUUAAAAUAAUUUAUAAUAAAAUAUUGGUUUUGUAAAUCAAAUUAGGAUAUUCCUUUUAACA